GGAAUCAAAUGUUACGGAAACAUGAAACGUUCAGAUAAAAUGGCUUCCACUGAGGAGACUGGUGAUAUGAAAUGUAGUGUAGAAACAGUGCUACCAACUGUUGCCAUCUGGCCAUGUUUCCGAUAGAGAGAAUCGAAUGAAAACGUAAUACGACGUCUGCAGUGUGGAACACAGACAAACGACACGUGGGGGGUUACCAGCCUACCAGCCCAUUCGCAAGAUCCACACUACACCCAAA
Long non-coding RNA from Cryptotermes secundus, 238 nucleotides. RefSeq lists it as uncharacterized. Lineage: Eukaryota; Metazoa; Arthropoda; Insecta; Blattodea; Kalotermitidae. The transcript has 3 exons. The record is from RefSeq and is a predicted model, not a curated record.